Molecule: ribosomal RNA, 430 nt
Filed under: uncultured bacterium
Lineage: Bacteria
Description: bacterial SSU rRNA
Rfam family: Bacterial small subunit ribosomal RNA
Source: RNAcentral
AACGCGAAGAACCUUACCAGGACUUGACAUCCUUCUGACAGGACCUUAACCGGUCCCUCCUUCGGGCAGAAGAGACAGGUGGUGCAUGGUUGUCGUCAGCUCGUGUCGUGAGAUGUUGGGUUAAGUCCCGCAACGAGCGCAACCCUUGUCAUUAGUUGCCAUCAUUUGGUUGGGCACUCUAAUGAGACUGCCGGGGAUAACUCGGAGGAAGGUGGGGAUGACAUCAAAUCAUCAUGCCCCUUAUGUUCUGGGCUACACACGUGCUACAAUGGCUGGUACAAAGAGACGCAAGACCGCGAGGUGGAGCAAAUCUUCAAAACCAGUCCCAGUUCGGAUUGUAGGCUGAAACUCGCCUGCAUGAAGUCGGAGUUGCUAGUAAUCGUGAAUCAGAAUGUCACGGUGAAUGCGUUCCCGGGUCUUGUACACACCG